AAGAUUAAGGACGUGUCUCCUCAGCGUCGUCUGAAGUCCACAGGUCACCCGGCAGCGCUUAACAAGAGCUCGCUCCGGCGACAGCAGGUAUUCACACGCGCCGCCGCCGACCUGAACGCAUCCAGAGGGAACGUCCUCCGAGAACCACAAGACCCUCAGCGCUCGUCUGGAGUGGCGCUGAUCCCUCCGGUGGCGUGCUGCUGUCAGUAACAAGGAUUCAUCCUGUUGUGAUGCUGCAGACGGACAGGAAGUCAUUGUUACUGGGAGUGUCCGUCACAUGACGUGAAGAGAUCCAAAGAUCAGGUUUAUUUCAUCCUGCAGGAGUCAGACCAUUCAUCUGAGGAUUUGUUUGUGUCCGUCGCUGCAUUCAUGAGGAGAUUCAUGUCAUUCUGUUUUUAAGAGAAUAAAAGCCCCAAAAUCAA
Long non-coding RNA from Oryzias melastigma (Indian medaka), 422 nucleotides. RefSeq lists it as uncharacterized. The transcript is spliced from 2 exons. Lineage: Eukaryota; Metazoa; Chordata; Actinopteri; Beloniformes; Adrianichthyidae. The record is from RefSeq and is a predicted model, not a curated record.